UAGGGAAUCUUCGGCAAUGGGGGCAACCCUGCCGAGCAACGCCGCGUGAGUGAAGAAGGUUUUCGGAUCGUAAAGCUCUGUUGUAAGAGAAGAACGUGUGUGAGAGUGGAAAGUUCACACAGUGACGGUAACUUACCAGAAAGGGACGGCUAACUACGUGCCAG
RNAcentral lists this ribosomal RNA (164 nucleotides) under uncultured bacterium. Its description in RNAcentral is "partial 16S rRNA". It matches the Rfam family "Bacterial small subunit ribosomal RNA", at positions 355 to 511 of the family's 1533-position model. The record is from RNAcentral.